UUUCCGUAGGUGAACCUGCGGAAGGAUCAUUAAUGAGAUGUCAUGGGGUUCGCUGCUUGCAUCCAAAUUCUGGAUGCAUGUGCUUGCCCUAACACUCAUCUUCCGAACACCGCUGCACAUUUUUGAGGGCGUCUAGCGUUGUUUGUCGAUCUUGGGUGAUUUUCUCACAUUCCCUUAAAUCAUUCAACAAUAUUUACCAUGUUUAACGUGCUCUGUGCCGCCAGGCUAGUUAUAUAAUACAACUUUUAACAACCGAUCUCUUUGCACUCGCAUCGAAUA
Molecule: unclassified non-coding RNA, 279 nt
Filed under: plant metagenome
Description: partial contains small subunit ribosomal RNA, internal transcribed spacer 1, and 5.8S ribosomal RNA
Source: RNAcentral